GUCGGUGUAGCUCAGUUGGUUAGAGCACAUCACUCAUAAAGAUGAGGUCGGAGGUUCGAUCCCUCCCACCGACA
This 74-nucleotide transfer RNA is filed under the name Minisyncoccota bacterium. RNAcentral's name for it is "tRNA-Met". It matches the Rfam family "tRNA". Rfam says of the family: Transfer RNA (tRNA) molecules are approximately 80 nucleotides in length. Their secondary structure includes four short double-helical elements and three loops (D, anti-codon, and T loops). Lineage: Bacteria; Bacillati; Minisyncoccota. The record is from RNAcentral.